GCCUCGUUGUCGCAUUAGGCAGCGCGUCAGUCUCAUAAUCUGAAGGUCGUGAAUUCGAGCCUCACACGGGGCA
Molecule: transfer RNA, 73 nt
Filed under: Danio rerio (zebrafish)
Lineage: Eukaryota; Metazoa; Chordata; Actinopteri; Cypriniformes; Danionidae
Rfam family: tRNA
About the family: Transfer RNA (tRNA) molecules are approximately 80 nucleotides in length. Their secondary structure includes four short double-helical elements and three loops (D, anti-codon, and T loops).
Source: Rfam by way of RNAcentral